Mus musculus (house mouse) is the source of this 585-nucleotide long non-coding RNA. RefSeq annotates it as predicted gene, 40070. The transcript is spliced from 3 exons. Lineage: Eukaryota; Metazoa; Chordata; Mammalia; Rodentia; Muridae. The record is from RefSeq and is a predicted model, not a curated record.
GGAUAUUAGAACACAAGGGUUCAGACUGCCGUUUGGUGGGGUUUGGCUUUUACAUUUCUUCUAGUUUUAGACCCAGCUUAUGGUAUUAUGAGCACAGCAGACAGCUGCAUCUCGACCAUGGUACUGUGUUUAGAACAAGACACUGAGCCAUCCUUUGGAAGGUGGUUUUUACAAUGUGACCCAGCUGCUUAAUGGAUGAUAGCCGAGCUUUGAGGAAAACACUCCAUUGCUCCUUCGCUGUGCGGUCCAGACGAGGCAUUAUGAUUCUCUCAUCCGUGGCUUAGGACAAUGAUCUGUAGCUAAAUCAGAGGAUGUGCUAAAGAAGCAACAGGACUUUAAACUUCUUUCACUAUUCCACAAGGGGGCAGCAGUUACCGUAGCCUAUGUUUCUUAUGCCUGGCGUUCAGAGGAACUGCAUUAAAGGUCCAAGCAUCCCAUAGUUGUUGAGCCUAUGAGGUUGGAUGUCUCAGCUGAUCUUCGGACUAUGUCAGAAUCCUGAAGAAGAUGACUCUAAUACCAGCGAAGGGAUGGACGCGCUGGCAGAACAGCAAGCAGGCAAGGAGCAAGAGCUUCCUUCUUCCAAGU